Molecule: ribosomal RNA, 465 nt
Filed under: uncultured bacterium
Lineage: Bacteria
Description: partial 16S ribosomal RNA
Rfam family: Bacterial small subunit ribosomal RNA
Source: RNAcentral
GAUGAACGCUGGCGGCGUGCUUAACACAUGCAAGUCGAACGGAAAGGCUCCUGCUUGCAGGGGUACUCGAGUGGCGAACGGGUGAGUAACACGUGGGUGAUCUGCCCUGCACUUCGGGAUAAGCCUGGGAAACUGGGUCUAAUACCGGAUAGGACGAUGGUUUGGAUGCCAUUGUGGAAAGUUUUUCGGUGUGGGAUGAGCUCGCGGCCUAUCAGCUUGUUGGUGGGGUAAUGGCUUACCAAGGCGUCGACGGGUAGCCGGCCUGAGAGGGUGUACGGCCACAUUGGGACUGAGAUACGGCCCAGACUCCUACGGGAGGCAGCGGUGGGGAGUAUUGCACAGUGGGCGCAAGCCUGAUGCAGCGACGCCGCGUGGGGGAUGACGGCCUUCGGGUUGUAAACUCCUUUCGCUAGGGACGAAGCGCAAGUGACGGUACCUGGAGAAGAAGCACCGGCUAACUACGUG